This 530-nucleotide ribosomal RNA is filed under the name uncultured Gammaproteobacteria bacterium. Its description in RNAcentral is "bacterial SSU rRNA". It matches the Rfam family "Bacterial small subunit ribosomal RNA", at positions 348 to 872 of the family's 1533-position model. The record is from RNAcentral. Lineage: Bacteria; Pseudomonadati; Pseudomonadota; Gammaproteobacteria.
GCAGCAGUGGGGAAUCUUGGACAAAUGGGCGAAAGCCUGAUCCAGCAAUACCGCGUGUGUGAAGAAGGCCUUAGGGUUGUAAAGCACUUUCAACUGGGAGGAAAACCUACCGGUCAAUACCCGGUAGCUUGACAUUACCUUUAGAAGAAGCACCGGCUAACUCCGUGCCAGCAGCCGCGGUAAUACGGAGGGUGCAAGCGUUAAUUGGAAUUACUGGGCGUAAAGCGUGCGUAGGCGGUUCGUUAAGUCAGAUGUGAAAGCCCCGGGCUCAACCUGGGAACUGCAUUUGAAACUGGCGAACUAGAGUUUAGUAGAGGGGAGUGGAAUUUCAGGUGUAGCGGUGAAAUGUGUAGAUAUUUGAAGGAACACCAGUGGCGAAGGCGACUCCCUGGACUAAAACUGACGGUGAGGUACGAAAGCGUGGGUAGCAAACAGGAUUAGAUACCCUGGUAGUUCACGCCGUAAACGAUGUCAACUAGCCGUUGGUCCUUAUGUAGGAUUAGUGGCGCAGCUAACGCAUAAGUGACCGC